UACGUAGGGUGCGAGCGUUAAUCGGAAUUACUGGGCGUAAAGCGUGCGCAGGCGGUUCGUUGUGUCGGUGGUGAAAUCCCCGGGCUUAACCUGGGAAUUGCAUCCGAUACUGGCGAGCUGGAGUGCGAUAGAGGGGGGUAGAAUUCCUAGUGUAGCGGUGAAAUGCGUAGAGAUCCGGAGGAACACCAGCGGCGAAGGCGGCAUCCUGGACUGGUCCUGACACUCAGGAGCGAAAGCGUGGGGAGCGAUCCGG
This 253-nucleotide ribosomal RNA is filed under the name uncultured bacterium. RNAcentral describes it as "partial 16S ribosomal RNA". It matches the Rfam family "Bacterial small subunit ribosomal RNA", at positions 524 to 776 of the family's 1533-position model. The record is from RNAcentral.